RNAcentral lists this ribosomal RNA (506 nucleotides) under uncultured bacterium. RNAcentral describes it as "partial 16S ribosomal RNA". It matches the Rfam family "Bacterial small subunit ribosomal RNA", at positions 29 to 523 of the family's 1533-position model. The record is from RNAcentral.
AUUGAACGCUGGCGGCAGGCCUAACACAUGCAAGUCGGACGGUAGCACAGAGGAGCUUGCUCCUCGGGUGACGAGUGGCGGACGGGUGAGUAAUGUCUGGGGAUCUGCCCGAUAGAGGGGGAUAACCACUGGAAACGGUGGCUAAUACCGCAUAACGUCGCAAGACCAAAGAGGGGGACCUUCGGGCCUCUCACUAUCGGAUGAACCCAGAUGGGAUUAGCUAGUAGGCGGGGUAAUGGCCCACCUAGGCGACGAUCCCUAGCUGGUCUGAGAGGAUGACCAGCCACACUGGAACUGAGACACGGUCCAGACUCCUACGGGAGGAAGCAGGGGGGAAUAUUGCAAAAGGGGCGCAAGCCUGAUGCAGCCAUGCCGCGGGUAUGAAGAAGGCCUUCGGGUUGUAAAGUACUUUCAGCGGGGAGGAAGGCGAUGUGGUUAAUAACCUUGUCGAUUGACGUUACCCGAAGAAGAAGCACCGGCUAACUCCGUGCCAGCCGCCGCGGUAA